CCGAAUGAAGAGAGCCUGAUAUCUUCUUCGUCAAAGUCCAAGAAUAGUAUUUAUUUUCAUCAUCGAGCUCCUGAUAUACACCAACAAUGGAGUUUUGGGAUGUCGAGUGAUACGAAUCGUCAUGUAUAAUAUACAUGAAGGUUUGAUUGCAUCGUUUCACGUUCUUCUCCUCUUACACGUUACUGAAUUCAUUGAGUUAUAGCAUUUAACCAGCUUCUUAACUCCAUGGACUUAUCUCUCUUCUAGGCGUUGGAUCUCAAUCUAUAAAAAGGUAAACCUGAACAUCAUUCUCUCAAAUUGUGAUAACACUAAAAGCUUAUUUUCAGUUUAAUGCUUCUUAUUCUCAUCAUUCCCAAAGUUCAUCGAUAUAAUUAAGAUGCCCAUUGAAGAUCCUUCAAUCAAUCCUCCCAGUACGGCUCCCUUUGGAACUUGGAAGGUCCGAAUGUUAAGAGGAGUUGGGCUCACCAAUGUUGGACAAGACGACAAUGAAGAAGAAGUGUUUCCACUACCACACACCUCACCAGAUCCAACGGCUUGAAUCGUAUUCUCUCUUUUUCUCUACUCAAUUGUUUUCUCUAGCUCUAUCUUUUUGUUCUCUUAUGGUUUUGUUCGCAGAGCUUUCAAUGAAUGACAACAUCCAAACAGAGGAUGCAUUUUAGCAGAGAAUUGGGUUUAGCUCCAAGACAGAUAAGUUUUGGUUUCAGAACCGAAGAACACAGAAAAAAGGCACAACACUAUAGAGUUCAUAAUUGUGCAUUCAAGAAGCUUUCAAACACCAUAUUCCCCACCUAUGGUGAUGCUCCUGUUCAUGAAGACUCUUACUUUGAUGAACAGAAGCUUCGAAUAAAAAAUGCUUAGAGAAAAGCUCGAGAGGGUUUCAGCAUUGCAGCUAAAUUCAUGGGGAGGCCACUUUCUCAUCCCCCACCACUACUAAACCAGAUGCAGAUUUCUCCAUUAGAGUUACUCCACAGUGUUCCUUUGCUUGAUUUUGAUCUUCUCCAAGGAAGUUGUUCUUCAAUGGCUGUCUCAAGUUUACUGUCUUUACCAAACGUGGUUAUCUCAGACAUGGAUAAGUUUCUGAUGACCAACAUUGCUGUGAGUCUGUGCCCGCUAUGGAAGAAUUGCUUAGGCUUACACAAAAACAUAUGAGCCUAUGUGGAUCAAAACAGAUGGAUGCCUAGACGUUGUCAGUCUAAAAAGCUAUGAGAAUGCAUUCCCAAGAUUAAGUAGUCAUGGAGGAAAGAACCACAACCUUUGAGUGGAAGCAACCAGAUCUCCUAGCAUUUCUUCACUAAUGCAGUGACAGUGUGACACUUGUGUAGAUGCUCAUGGACUCUUUUUCAGGCCAAAGCUGCAGAGCCUUUUCCUUCAGUCGUUGCAGCAUCUAAAACUCUUGCAGUGGUUUCAUCUGGAUUGCGUGGAGAUCACGGAGAUUCCUUACAUUUUGACACAAUAAUGCUACAUAAAUCUAUGAACAUAAAAUAUACUUUUUUUUGGGCAACGAACAUAAAAUAUACUCCGACUCUUGCUUUUCA
Molecule: long non-coding RNA, 1535 nt
Organism: Raphanus sativus (radish)
Lineage: Eukaryota; Viridiplantae; Streptophyta; Magnoliopsida; Brassicales; Brassicaceae
Exons: 4
Source: RefSeq, a predicted model, not a curated record